ACUGUGGAAGGAGGGACAGCUAAUGGCAGGGAACCUUUCUGAGGAGGGGGGAAGACUAUUACAGGGACAUGACUGCACCUGGGUAUUGGUUCACAUCUGGCAGAGACUGAUGCUCCCUUCCCACAUGAUCAGCCUGAGCUUUGGGAAAGCAUGAACUUCAGAUCUUCGGAGCAUGUAAAGCAACAAGGCAUCAAGGCAGCAGUGACACAGGCAGCAAUAUCCUUCGGUAAAUGCCGUUCAAUGCAGCAGAGCUUCUUAGCGAUUAAAGGAGCCUUGGAAAUGUCA
Molecule: long non-coding RNA, 285 nt
Organism: Pezoporus flaviventris
Lineage: Eukaryota; Metazoa; Chordata; Aves; Psittaciformes; Psittacidae
Exons: 2
Source: RefSeq, a predicted model, not a curated record